RNAcentral lists this long non-coding RNA (30615 nucleotides) under Citrus x clementina. RNAcentral describes it as "Citrus clementina (C. clementina) long non-coding RNA (CCLE_LNC004579)". The record is from RNAcentral. Lineage: Eukaryota; Viridiplantae; Streptophyta; Magnoliopsida; Sapindales; Rutaceae.
AAGUAGAAAGCAUGCUCAGAUUUCCUAAGAGGCAAUCCUUCCCUCAAGGCAGCCUCAUCAAUUUGAAUAACGUUAAUGCCUGCCUUCUCAAGAUCCUCGACUUCGUCCUUGAUGGCCAAAGCAAUCUGGUAGCAGGUUUCAUGUCUGCAAAAUUGGCAGCGAUUUAUGUUAAACAAUGUUUCCAUUUCAAAAGGUUAACCAAUAGUGAACCAGUUCUCAUUUAUAUACCUGGGCUGGUCAUUUCUAACAAAGGACCAGUUGAGAAUGGUGACAGGGCCAGUAAGCAUUCCUUUCAUUGGGCGAGCUGUCAUGCUCUGAGCCAAGGAGGACCAGAAGACGGUCAUAGCCUUGGGACGGCUCACAUCACCAUAGAUGAUGGGUGGCUUCACACAGCGAGAUCCAUAGGAUUGCACCCACCCAUUGGCAGUGAAGGCGAAACCUGAUAAUUGCUCUCCAAAGUACUCAACCAUGUCGUUCCUCUACAAAAACAAAUGUCCCAAUUCAAUAUGAGAUACAGCAUACUUCGUAUGCAAUUAGAAAUGCAGAAACAAAAAUGUAUAAAAUUUUAUCUAAUUCAAAACCAGGAGACAUUGCUUUGCUUCCAUUGGGCAUUGUGAAACUCACCUCAGGCUCUCCAUGGACAAGGACAUCAAUAUCAAGCUCUUCUUGGAGUUUGACAACCUUGUUGAUUUCCUCCUUGAUGGAAGCAACAUAUUCUUCCUCAGAAAUCCUAAAAAGGACAAAUAGUCACGGCACAGUUAAUACAGUAGUCGAAGUAAUUUCACACAUGGCAUUGAAUGAAGGAAAACCUCAGAUUGACUCACUUCUUAGCCUUGUAUUCACGGCGGACUCUCCUAAGUUCAAUGGUUUGUGGGAAGGAUCCAAUUGUGGUGGUUGGGAGGAUUGGAAGAUUGAGCUUCUUCUGUUGAGCAUCCAAUCUAGCACUAACGUUUGUAGCACGUCUGUGGUCUGAUCCCUUCAAAGCAGCAGCCUAAUUUACCAAGAGGAAGGAAUCACCGUUAGCAAAAAAAGGAAACUCUAAGGGGCAGCCACAUCAUAAAAAUGGAAAACAAAUCAAUCAUGCCACUUACAGCCUUUUGAACUCUCUCAUUGGUCACUCUCGGGGAGGACUUUCUUGAAGCCUGAGCUGCAGCAUUGGCAGAGAAGAAUCCCUGGAAACAAAUGAAAAGGAGAAACAAAGUUAGUCUCAUUCAUAUCAUUUCAAAAGGAAUAUACAUAUGCAAUUAGUGGGCUGAUUGUGAGAGAAAAUGUCCACAAAACUUUAACCAAACACCAAAUGCCCAAGUUGCCAAAUGAUGUUUAAUUCGGAAAAAUAUAUUUAGAAACAUUCAAAUAAAUAAUUUCCCCUUCUAAAUUUUCAUUUUCAACAACAUAUUUUACAAGCCAAGCUCAACUUCAGGCCAAGAUUUUCUGCUCCUAUAAUUAUAUUUUACCAUAAAACUAGGUCCUUGAAAGGCUAAGAUUUUCUGACUCUUGUGACUAGUCAAAGCCUAAGAUUCUUUCAAUUCAUCCGUAGCUAACAUUUUAGACUAAAAGUAUACCUCAUCCUUUUGGCCAGCCAAAGCCUUGGCCAAUGCAUUCACUUCAACAACUUUCUGGGCAGCAAAUGCCAGCCAUGACUUGAUUUCAUCGUCGAGUUUGUUCUCAUUAACAAGAUCAACAGCAGUGUGAAGAAGUGAGCAGGAGGUGGAGACCACAAGCUUGUCUGCAAAGAAAAAUAAUAAAUUAUACAACAAAUCCCAUAAAAGAAUAAGAAAUAUUUAUCACAAAGAAAAAUGCAGGCAAAGGAUGUAUACCUUUGCCAACAACACCCUCAAGCCCCCGGAGAACACUAAGAGAAGCAGCAAGAUCAUUGGCCCAAAUGUUCCUUCCAUCAACCACUCCAGCAAAGAGGUACUUGCCAGCAGGGAAUCCACUCUUGAUCAAUUCAAGGGUCUUCGUUCCACGAACCAAAUCAAAUCCAUAAGCGGUGACACCCUUCAAAGAAGUGAGGGUCUGGAAUGCCUCAGCUGGAACAUCAGCAAAGUAGGUCUCAACAAGAACAUUCAAGCCAGACAGAGUUGACUCUAGCUCGGCAUAAGCCUCACUGAAUGCAUGCAAUUUGUGUGAGUCAAGAUCCAUAACAAGCAAUGGCUCAUCAAACUGAAUCCAGGAAGCACCAGCAGCCUUAAGCUCAGAAAUAACUUCCCUGCAGAAGUGUUAAUUGGUACAACACAGAUUAAUGAUGUCACUCGAUAUAUACACACAGAGUUAUUUAGCACAUACACAUUUAUAAAUCAGUAAUAGGUGAUAAUUUCUUACUUGUAGAUUGGAAGGAUUUUCGGAAGAAGAGAAAGAAGAGAAAAGGUCUUCGCAACACCCUUGGCAGGCUUAGACAGCAACAAGUAUGACACAGGGCCAAUAAGCACUGGGACAGUUUCAACUCCAAGCUGCAGCAUUAGACAAGUGAUCGAUAUUAGCAUCUCACAAACUUGAUCUGAUUGAUAGAAAGUUACAAGCAAGUUCAGAAUUCGUUUAAUGAAAUCUCUAUGAAAAAUCUUCAGGGUCCACAAUGUGUUGAAAGUACCCUUUUCAAGUAAUUUAUCUUAAGACUAUUUUGCAAACAGUAUUGCUUUCCUUACAGAUCAAAUAAAUCAAACAACAUAUGAACACAUUUACUGAACCAAGUCUAAGUUCAAAGCUCUAUAAAUAAAUGUCAAUGAAUCUAUAGUAAAUUCUAUUGCAUCCUAAGCUAAAGAUGAGCAUAUCAUAUAAGAAUUUCAAGGUGAACGUAACCCAAUUUCAAUAUAUUGUAGAUUCAGAUAUCAAACGAAAUAAAAUUUGUAAAUAUAGACAGAACUGAGAAUAAACACUCACCCCCUUAGCCUCCUUGUACUCAGUCACAGCCUUGUGGGAAGCGUAGGAGAACUUAACAUCGGGUCCCAAUUCAGGAACAAUGAAAUGACUGCAUCAACACGAAGCCAAACACGCGUCAGCAUUCAGUACAAAACCAUUACACCAUAAAUAACUUGAAAUGCCGCUCUUCCAAGUAGUGAAUACUUACUAGUUGGUGUCGAACCACUUGGUCAUUUCCAUAGCGGGAACAGAGGCGUUUCCUCUGGCCAUGGAGAAGUAAACAUCAAAUCCAAUCUCGCCGCCGUUCCAGUUAUACCUCGGGGGCACGGCACCGAGCAUUGCGGUGGUGUCGAGCACUUGGUCGUAGUAGGAGAAAGUGUUGCUGGGAAUGUAUUUGAUCCCGGCCUGGGACAUCUGUUUCCAGAUGGAGGAUCUGAGAUCAGCGGACACCUUUUGCAAAUCCUCAGCGCUGCUCUUGCCAUCCCAGAAGGAUUCCAACGCGAACUUGAGCUCCCUCUUGGGGCCCAUGCGUGGGUAUCCAACGAUGUGAGAUGCCAUUUUACUGUCAUAAUCACGUCAUCAAUGAAUCGAAAAUCAGUCACUUUCAUUAAAUCAAGAAAAUAUUCAUUCAAAUGGAUGGGUCAUUGCUAUUACUGCUCAAAUCAAAUGAAAUCAAGAACACUUAUCAGAGCAUAAAAUCUUAAAUUAAUUUUUUUAUAAAAAAAUAAAAAACCAGUUGAAACAAGCUGAUAAUAAUCCAAGAGUUUGAGAUGAUUUUUUUCUUUCUGUAAUCACAUGAACAAUUAUGUACUUUCAGUCAUUUUUGAAGGAUUAAAACAAAAAAUUCUACAAAUAGAUUCUGAAAAGAAGAAUCUAAAAAUAGAUUCAAAAACAGUAACACAAGUAGAGUUCAAAUUGUUUUUCGGAAAAGAUUAAUUACAGAUCUGAUUGAUUCACGUUCAGAUCUAGCAAAAUCACGGCAGCCAAACACUAGAUCUAACACUAACAGUCACUCACCAGUCCAUUAGAAAAUGAAAUCAAGUUCAAAAUUCUUUUAAAGUUAAUUCUUUUUUAGAAAAUGACCAGAUUUUAGUUGAGUAUUAGUGAGUUUUUUACAAAAUAAUUUAUUUUUGUUUUUUAGAUCCAAAAGUUCGGAAAUCAAAACCAUGUUCAAUGCUUAUUCAUGAUUAACGGCGUAAAAACGCUACUGCAGAGAAGACAUAACGAAAAUGGGAACCGUACCAAACAGAGAAAGAAGAGCAGAGAAAUUGAGAGUCGAGAGGAGAGAGAGAAGAGAGCGGCGAGUUUGGGGGAGUGCCCUCUCCGUUAUUUAUAGCCAAAAAUCAAAUCUGGUUUGGUGGUUGCCUUUGGCGUGCCAACCUGUAGAUCUGAGAUUUUUCAUCUUAAUUUCUUUCUCUUAUUUAUUUAUUUAUUUAUUAUGAUUUUCAGUGCAGUUCAUAAAAUAUAGAGCUGACGCGCGCUUUUCUGAUGUGGCGCGUGAAUUGGAAAUGCGGUAGGUCUUUGUGGGCCCCACGGCACGGUCAGGACUGAAGGAAAAAUGUGAGAAGUUAUCAUAAUUUCAACAGUGCCAUAAUUAGCAAUUACACCACCAAAUAUUUCUUGAGUUUUUUUUUUUUGAUUGCUUUAAAUGCAGAGUUGUUAUGAAUUGUGUUAAUUGUAGAGUUGUUAUGAUUAGAUUACAUUAUAAUUCGUCACAAUUAUGAUAGGUAUGUACGUAUAUAAUAAUUUAUGAGUAAUGAUAUAACCACAAACUCUUAUACAAACUUAUUUUGUACAAAUUGAUGUGGCAUGAUAAAAUUAGUUGAAUUAAAUAUUACUUGAUCCACAUGAUUUGUUAUUAUUAUUUUAUAUUUUCAUUCAACCAAUGAAUUAAUGACACGUCAGUUUGUACAAGAUAAGUUUGUACAAGAGUUUAUGGUUGUAUCAUCACUCAUAAUUUAUAUAAGAUCUCGAAUAUUUAAAAAAUUUAUAAAUCAUUAUUUUCAUGUACAUUUACCUGGUAGCAAUGACAAUAACAUAAAAUAAACUCCAAACAAGAAUGGAUUAUAUUAUUUAUGUUAUUUUAUAGCUUUUUAAUUGAUUUUUAAAAGGAUUAAUUGUUAAUCAUUACUCUCCAACCGUAAUCACCAUUAAAUAUUUAUUUAAUUUAAUAGUCGGUAGAUCAUAAAUAAGAUUAGAAUAUUUAAUGGACAAUCUAAUUGCUACUACAAUUGUUAUCAUUUUUUUAAGGUAAGGGAUUAGACAAUACUCAAAUUUAUUUUUUAACCCCUUACUCCCUAAAGAUUCGAAUUUAACUAACUAAUUAAAUAAGACUGCUUAAAAACCACUCAACCACAUCUUUUGGGGACCAAUUAAUAUCGAUGUUUAAACUGAGGUUUAUUAUUAAAUUUUUUAAGUUUCAAGUUUCAACCGCUAACAACAUUAUCAUCGAUUAAUGAUAAAUAUAAUAAUAUUUCAUCAAAAAACCAUUUAACACAUCCAUCCAUAUUAAACAUAAGUAAAAAAUUUAUCAUGCAUUUCAAAUAUAUUUUUCAUCCUAAAAGUUAUGGAGAAAAUCUUGAUAUCAAAACUUACAAUGUAAUUAUGGGAUGUAAUUUUGCAUUUGAGGUCAGCACAACUUAAAAAUUACUAUGAAUGAAAAUUUAUAAUAAGCAGACACCACAAAAAAAAAUUAUUUAUAAGUAUUACAAUCAUGCAGUUUUAUUUAAGUAUUUAACCAAGUCAUUCAAUUUCUAAUUAAGACGGUAUAAAUUAGAUUUGGGCUGCCUAAGACCAAAAGUCAAAAAAAAAAAAAGAAUAUUCCUAAUAAGCAGCCUACCGCGGUCACGCGCCUUAAGAAACGCUUGGACUUAGCACACGAUUUUAAUCCAAAAUGUAUAAAAAAGGAAAAAUUUAUGAGGUGUAUAAUUAUCUUGAGUUGUUAUAUUUUGAAGAAACAAUGAAGAAAGUUGGUGGCCGAAGUUGAUCCGGGGCGAAUGGUGGUGGGCCCACGUUGUUGCAUUAUAAUUGGAGUUAUUGUAAUUUUUCUUAUAAUUAAUAAACUCCAUUUUUCAAAGAAAAUAAAUAAAUAAAUACACUCCCGAUUACGAAAAUAUCAUUUCAUGAGUGUCAAAGUUAGAGCUGGCAAAAUUUGACACGACCCGAUUACCUGACACGAACACGACAUAAAUAAAUAAGUAUGGAUCGUCAAAUUUAACACGAUUAUUAAAUGGGUCGGGUCUGGGUCAACACAAUUUUUUUCCGUGUCGGGUUUGGGUUAAAAUUCUUGACCCAUUUACCCGAUCAAUGACCCGAUUAUAUUUUCUAUUUUAAAAUAAUUUACAUAUUCUUAUAAUUAAAACUCAAAUAUUAGAGAUAUUUUUUUUAUUCUUUAAAAUGGUGAAUAUAAACACAGUGUUUUAUUUAUAAAAUUUUACAUACAUUUAGAGCUUCAAUAGUGUAAAUGUGUAAAAAUUAAUAGACAUGUAUAUUUUAUAAUAUUGAUAUAUAAUAUUAUAUAUAUAUAAUUAAAACAUCAAUAGUGUAAAUGUGUAAUAUAUUGGUAGAUAUAUAUAUUUUAUAAUAUCGAUAAAUUAUGUAUGUAUGUAUUUAUGUACAUACGUAUGUAUGUAUUUAUGUAUAUACGUAUGUAUGUAUUUAUGUACAUACGUAUGUAUGAUAGUGUGUAAAUAUUUUAUGUAACUUUUGUUCAAUAUAUAGAUAUUAAACGGGUUAUUGGGUAACCCGAUUGUUUUUCCGUGUCGGGUUUGGGUCUCAAUAUUUUGACACGAUUAUUAAAUGGGUCGGGUUUGGGUCGACCUAAAUUUGACACGACACGACACGAACACGACCCGAUGACCCGUUUUGCCAGCUCUAGUCAAAGUGACCGUCACCUACGCAUCGCGUUUGUUGGGCGGGGUGGGUAAGGUGGGGCGAGGAGUUUGUUUGAUCGUCUGAUUACUUUGAUUUUGAUGAAACGUAUGGACGACGGCGAUGGCUUGCCAGCAAGUGGGUUUAUCAUGAUUUUGAUUGUAUUCGGGGAGAUGCUUAUGUAUAUCCUCAAAACUUCUUGGAAAUGAAAACCGCUGGGGUGGCAAAUCUUGACCAAUAAAGUGUGCGUGAUGUUGCGUUUAUAAAUUUCAAUAAUACUAUUGGCCGAUUGAGAUUAUUUUUAAAAAGUUUAAAAAUAAUUUUUAAAGGUUAAAUGUUAAUUUUAAUAUUGAAUAAAUUUUUAAAAAUUAUUUUUGAUAAAAUCAUUUUAUCCUCCAAUAAAUUUUAAAAAAUAGCGAUACAGUAAUUUUUUAAAAUCUAAUUUUAAUAAUCAAAACUAUUUUUUUAUAUAAUUUUAUAGAUAUCCGCAUAUAUAUAUUAUAAAAAUUCGAAAUCAUUAUUAUUAAUUAGGAAAUAAAAUCAUUAACUUUUAAGAAAUUAUUAUUAUUACCAAUUAUACUGACAUAACAAAAUAAAAAAUUAAUUAAUAUUAUAAAUAUUUAUUUCAGUUAUCAACUAUUAUAUAUACACAAUAAAAAAUAUUUUAUAUACAUAUUUAUAAAUGUAUAAAUAAUUUUUAUUCAAUAUUAUAUCGAAUUAAUCAUUUACAUUCUUGCAACAAGUUAACAAUAAAAUUUACCAAACACAUACGAUUGUUUUUAAAACUCAUAUUAUUUUUUUAAAAAAAAAUUACUAAACCUUUAACUGAUUCUCUUACAACUGAUUAUUUCUACAGUACAAUUAACAACAAUUAUUUUAAAAACUAUAACAUUUUCAAACUAGCCCCAUGACAAUAUUGUUAUUGUUGUUUUUCUUACUCUUAUCAAUAAAACUACGUUGCACAUAAGUGCAUAAAAAUUCACACAAAAUAAACUAUUUAACUUUAGGGUAUUAAUUGAAAAAAAAAAUCAGAUUAAGGUGAAUAAAUAUCAGAAAAUAACAAAUAGAUAAACUCUCACACUCUUUAAAAAAAUUAAUUUUAUAAUUUUAUUUAAAACCAACAGAUAUUACCAAACUUAACGGAUCAAUGUUCCAAUGUUUUCUUUUUAAUUUCAAAACCAACAGAUAUUCUUUGUUCAUUAUAUGACCUCCAAACAAAUAAUUUCAUUAAUAAAAUAAUAAUGAAAAGUAUCGUGGUGAGUACAGAGUAAUUCGGUGGCUAAUAAAAGUCUCUAUUUUUCGUCUCUGUUUUUCAUUUUAACUCUUGGGGUUGGUGCCACUUCGGCCUUGGUCGGAGUGGUGGGCUGCUGCCCUCACAAGUAUUGUGAGGACAGUGGUUCAAGCCCCCACAAAUAUUUUUGUGGGGGCUAACGUACUUAUUUAUUUAAUAUUUCAAAAAUUUCUUCUCCCUCGUGCAAUACGAGUGGAGUAUGGACAUCCCUCCUCUAUAAGGGAUUAUUUGUCUGGGCAUGUACUUCACAGAAUUCAAUGUAAUAAUAUAAGUCUCAAUCAUAUAUUUUUGAUUGUAAAUAUCAAUAUAAUAUAUCUGCUAUAAUAGCAGUUGUAAAUAUCUGUGUAAUGCAAUAAUAUGAUAAUUAAUCAUUAUUCAAAAAAAAAACUCUUGGGGUUGGUAGGCUCGUGAAUGGUCCACGUAACCUCUGGACGUAACACUCAAACAAAGACAGCACAAGGCACAUGAAAAAUGCCUAAAAACCGUAAAACCGUGACGUGUUCAACAUAUUAAUAAAUUUAUACUGUGUUUUCUUUUUUUUUUUAAUACUGUGUUGAUAAAGCACUUACGAUGGAACGACCAAUUCUAUUACUUGCAAAACUAAUUAAUAUUUCACUCUAUCAUCUAACUAAUGGAAGGCCAUCUUAAUUGAGGUUGCAAUAGUUAGAAAGUAGCGGGAAGGGUGGCCAAUGCUCCAUAUUAAUUUGCAUCAAUCCCUUUCUGGUGAAGAAGUACGGGUGAAGUAGAGGUCAAAGUUAGAAGAUGAAGGGUGUGUUUGGGAAUUGAGAGUGAGGUGCUGUAGUUUUUUAGCUGCAGUUGCUGUGAAAUAAAAGUUAUAACUGUGGAAUAGAAGUUGAGAAAAAAAAUUUGUUAAGCUGCCAAAGCCCAGUUACAAAUGUUACCAAACACCUUAGUAGCUAGGCUUUGGCAGCCCAUCUACCCCAUCACACUCCCAAACGGAUUAGAAGGGGACCGGGAUUGCUUUGUCAUAUUUGAAAAUGAUUUUGAAAAAAUAAAAAUUAAGUUCAGAAUUUGGUAAAUUCCUUUAAAAUUUCUUUUAGCAAAAUCACUCUCUCCUUUAGAUUUUGAAAAGUAUGGAAUGAGUAGUUUUUUAAAAUUUAAUUUUGAAAUUCGGAUUCAUAUUUAAUAUAAUACCAUAUAUCAUAACAUGUAUUAUAAAAAUCUAAAAUUAUCCUUAUUCAAUCAAUUAAGAAGUAAAAUCUUACAUUUAAAGAUAUUAUCAUUAUCAAUUAUAUUUAGAUAAUAAAAAAUACAAUUAAUAAAAUAAAAAUAUUUAUUUUAGUUAUCAAUUAUUAUAUAUAUACAUAAAAUGUAAUUAUAUAAACAUAUUUAUAAAUGUAUGUGUAAAUUAAAUUUGUAGAUUUAUGUUUAUAUAGAUCAUUUGCAUUCUUAUCACAUUUUAAAAGUGAGAUUUAUUAAAUAUAUAUAUGAUUAUUUUUAAAAUUUACAGCACUUUUUAAAACAAAAGUAUCAAAAGUUUAAUUGAUUCCUUAUUUUUACUGUACAACUAACAGUAAGAUGUGUUUGGUUCAAGUAUAAAAUGAUGGGAUUGGACAAUUUUAAGAUUAAAUAAUCCUAAUGCAAUGUUUGGUACCAAAAAUAAUUGUGGGAUAAAAAUAGUGGACCCCACCAUUUAAUCCAACACAAUGUCAAAAUUUUAUCACAAAGGGGGGUGUGGGAUAAGCUAAAACUUAAACGUAGGAUAACAAAAAAAAAGCCCAAAAUUUUAUACAACACAGUGAUUUUUUUUUUUUUUUGAGUAUGUCAUCAUCCAAUGAUAGUAUAUAUGCCAGAACACUCUUUUGACGUUAAUGAUAUGUAAUAUUUUCAUAUAUACAGCUAGUGACAUUGUUAUGUAAUUUCUUUUUCAUUUAUAGAUUUAUAUUAUUAUUAUAUUUGUUGAUGAUAUUCUUGUUAUGUUUAUAAUUAUAUUAUUUAGUAAUUUAUAAGUUUAAAAACUAUAACAUGUUAAAUAUAAGAAAAACUUUAAGCGAAGAUUUUGUAUUUUUUAACAAAUUUACCAAUAAUUUUUUAUUUAAGUUAGAUUAUAUUCCAUGUCAUUUUAAAAUAAAUCUAAGAUAAUUUUGAUAAAUUAAUAAAUAAGACAUAUUAUUAGUUACUAACCAAUUUCAUGGCAUACCAAACAUGAGAUAUGAUUAUUUACAGUCUAAUCCAACAUUGCACCAAACGUAAUAGAGUAUUAUAUAUAAUCCAAUGUUAUCAAAUCCAAUCAUAUCUUAUCCAAUCCGAUCCGAUCCAGUCUAAUCCAAUUUGACAUACCAAACAAGCCCUAAUUAUGUUAAAAACUACAUCAUUACCAAACUGACCCUUAAUACAAUCUCAUACAUACAUACAUAUAUAUAUAUAUAUUAAAAAUUAAAAAUUAUCUUUAUUUAGUUAGGAAAUAAAACCAUUAUAUUUAAAUAGAUUAAUAUUAUUACUAAUUAUAUUCAGAUAACAAAAUUAAUAAAAUAAAAAUAUUUGUUUGAUUUAUCAAUUAUUAUACACACAUAUUUAUAAAUGCAUGCGUAAAUAAAAUUUUAUAGAUUUAUGUCUAUUUAAAUCAUUUGCAUUCUUAUAACAUUUUAAAAAAAGAAAAGAAAAGUGAUUUACCAAAUACAUGUAAUUGUUCUUCAAACUUACAACACUUUUAAAAUAGAAUUUAAUAAAUGUUUAAUUAAUUUUUUCACAGCUGAUUAUUUUUAUGGUAUAACUAACAAUAAUCUAUAAACUUAUGGUAAAUAUUUGUGUGAAUGUUGGUCCAUGUAAAGAAGUAAAAACAACGCAUAUAUCAAGCAAUAAGAUAUCAAAACUCUUAGUAAAAUACAUAUACUAAUGAAAGAAUGACAGCAAUGCAAUAAAUAAGAUUAUAAUAUAAAUUAUUAAAAUUGUAUAUUAAAAAUUGAUGUAUGAAAUUCUUUUUAUUUUAGUGAUAGAUAAUGUGAUAUAUUUGAAUAAUUUGAUUAAAUGAAAAGAAAAAUAACAAGUAUGGUUGUGGAGGAAAUAAACCAUUGAACUGUGGAAUGUUAUUAAUUAUUGCUAUUUCAUUAUGUAACGUCCUGAUAAUAAGUACAGUGUUAUAGUAUAUUGAUGGGUGGUGAUAUUGUCACCCCUUAAAUUGUGUAAAGUCAACCUCAUUUACAAAUUUUUUGAUAUAAAUUAAAAAGUACAUUAGUUUUAAUAAAUUAUAUAUUUAUUGAAUAAACUAGAACCGUUAGGGAGCUGUAAUGUUAGCACUGUUUUAACUUAUUAUAAAAAAAAAAGUUAUGAUUUGAUCAUAACUCUAAUUUAGAAAAGAAAAAAGAGUUGAAUUGCUAACAUACUUAAAAAUAAAAUAAAAACAUUAUUAUUAGAUGAAAAAUUGUAAAACUUAAGGGGGCAUUUGCAAGUCCGCCACUACUCAAUAGAGCAUUAUUCAGUACUCGUUAAUAUAUCUCGAACUUUUAGGUUUUUUUAAUAUAUUUUUAAUACAUUUUCUAGAACAUUUAGAUAAAAAGAGUCAGUACUCCAAUUGAGUUGUGAAUAAACAUUUAGAUAAAAAGAGUCAAUACUCCAAUUGAGUUGUGAAUAAACUCAUGUUAAAAAAAAAAAAACUCAUUUUCACACUUGAAACGAUUAGUAAAUGGGUGAUACGAAUUUAACUUGGUCAAUAAUAUAUACCAUCUUAAGUUAACUUCAACUCAUUGAUCUUCUAUAGGGUUGAUCAGCCUGCCACAAGGCCCACAAAUUAUCACCUCUAAUGCUUUUGCAACAGUCGUUAUAAAUGCUGACAAAAUGAAACUUCUAUAUAUUUUGGUUUUUUUUUAUUUCUAUGAAAUAUAAGGCCCUUAUGGCAAAUUUCCAUCCAGCGUGAAAUUUGCUAGUUUGGCCUUGGUACUGUGGCACAUGCGUCAUGCAUGCGUGGCUGAGAUGCUUCUAAAACUAAUAAAUUAUGAAGAAUUCCAAAUUCGUACCAAAAAUAAGAGAAUAGGAGCUUGUCAUAGGUGUCCGCGGAUCGGAUUUUAUGGGUUAAACAUUAAUUCAUAUUUGAUUCGUGAUUUUGUAGAUUAUAAAUUUUUAAUUUAAUUCAAUUUAUGGAUUAGUGAAACUCAAUACAAAUUCAAUCCAUAUAUAUGCAAAUUAGAUGCGGAUUUAACCCAAUGCAUAUUCAAUCCAUCAUUUGGCGGAUUGAUUUGCAAAUUAAAAGUUUUUAAUUUUGUCCAAUCUAAAAAGUAAUUAAAUUAAAAAAAUCUAAUAUAUAAAUAAUUGAUUAAAUAAAAAAAUCUAAUGUAAAAAUAAUUUUACUACCAAUUAAAUUCAAAAUUGAACAAGAUUUAAAUAAAUUUAGAAUAAUACAUUCAAAAUUUUAAAAUAUAACACACCGAAAAAAAAAUUCAUUUAUUUAGAUCAAUACAUGAAAAUUAACUAAAAUUAUGAAUUUAAAUGUUGAAACUUGAAAGCUUGGAUGUAACAGGAAGAAUUUAAGAAACUUGAAGAGCUUGAAAAGAAAGUAAGAAAUUAAGUUUAAUUACCUCAAGUGGUGAAGUGAAACAGUGAUUGGCUUGUGCGUGCGGUGGGAUAGAGAUUUGGUGUUAUAUGUCAAAAUAUUUUGUUUGGCUUGGGGUUUUUGUUUUGCUUUAGAAAUUUUAAUGUUUAGGAAACUAUAUUUGCUUAUUUAAUUAUUUCUUAUUUUAUAUUGUUAUCGAAUAAAAUAUAAUAUUUUGUUAAUUUAGCUAUAAUUUUAUGCUGAAUAUAUUUAUUUAAAACGAUUUUAUUAAAUAAAUGUGCAUAUUUAACGAAGGUCUCUGAAAUUUCAACCUGCCUGCUAAUGAUAGCCAAUACGGCACGACCCACCAAAUGUCGGCCCACGCGGGCUUGUGGGCCAUGACGACUUUUUUUGUAAGGGCCCGGCACGGCCCACGGCACGAGUCCGUGCCCAAAAAAAGCCCACCUACCUUUUUUUUUUUUGUCCACAUGUUCAGCGUGCCUAAAAAAACCCACGUGCCUGACGUGCUUUUUUAAGCCCACCAGCCUAAUAGUAACAACAACAACAACAAUAAUAAUAAUUUCAUAGAAAUAAUUAAUGAAAAAUAAAAUAACAAUUCUAGAAUAACAAUUACAUCUAAUUUUAUUUGAACAACUAAUAUUAUAAUUGCACAUAAACUCUAUUGAAUGAAAAUGUAAUUUUUAAUUUAUUAUAAAAAUAUUUUGUUCAUAAUUUUAUUUUUUUGUGCGUAAAUAUGAAAAAUAUUUCAUUCACAAAUGAAACAUAUCUCCAUUAACUAUUAACUAAGUUAUGAUUUCAUAAAUGAAAUAUUAAUGUCGUAAAAUUUUUUAUUUAUCAUUUAUAAAAUCAUGAUAUUUAUUUAUCCAUUUAAUAAAUUAUAAACAUAAAAAAAUUAGAAUACUUAUUUAAACUAGGACUUAAAUUAAUUUUAAAAAGCCUAUACUAAAAAAAUAUAUUAAAAUUUUUAAUUUCAAGGUAUUUAUAAAAUCAUGAUAUUUUAUAUUUAUUUUUCAUUAAAAAAUUUUAUUUUGAUAUACUUUGGCCCACGUGCUAUUGGUGGCCCACGGGCCGCGUGCUUAGCCCACCAAUAAAGUGUGCUUAUUACAUGCCUUUUCGCGUGCCGUGUUUUGCCCCAUCUCUAAUCAUACCGUGCUUUUAAGGCCUGCGUGCCUAAAAUUCUAGGCCCGCAUGCCGUGCCGUGCCGUGCCGUGCCUCGUGCCGCCUGGCCCAUUGGCCAUCCCUACUGCCCGCCAACCACAUUUGUCCAAGAUCAAUUUGUAGGAAAAAAAUUUGAAAAUCAAUAAUUUAUUUAAUUAAUUGUUAAUGUAGGCAUUUGAAUCCCCACAAAAUCUGGGUGUCAGUUCUAGACUUCUGGUGAUAUAUUUUUCUAAUUAAGGAAUAAAAUAUUUUUGUCAUUUUUUUAAUAUUUUAAUUUACCAGGCAUAUCAACUAAUUAAUUUUUCUACUUAGACUAUUAAUUCAUUACGUGCGCAAUCUGUAGCCCGGCGCUCCAAUCCCAUGCAUGUUACACACAACUCAAUCAUUAUUUAUUUAUUUAUUUAUUUUGACCAACAACUCAAUGUUUUUUAUAGAGCUGUCAAAAUUUGACACGACCCGAUUACCCGACACGAACACGACAUAAAUAAAUGGGUAUGGGUCGUCAAAUUUAACACGAUUAUUAAAUGGGUCGGGUCCGGGUCAACACGAUUUUUUUCCGUGUCGGGUUUUGGGUUAAAAUUCUUGACCCAUUUACCCGAUCAAUGACCCGAUUAUAUUUUCUAUUUUAAAAUAAUUUACAUAUUCUUAUAAUUAAAACUCAAAUAUUAGAGAUGAUUUUUUUUUAUUCUUUAAAAUGGUGAAUAUAAACACAGUGUUUUAUUUAUAAAAUUUUACAUACAUUUAGAGCUUCAAUAGUGUAAAUGUGUAAAAAUUGAUAGACAUGUAUAUUUUAUAAUAUUGAUAUAUAAUAUUAUAUAUAUAUAUAAAAUUAAAACCUCAAUAGUGUAAAUAUGUAAUAUAUUGGUAGAUAUAUAUAUUUUAUAAUAUCGAUAAAUUAUGUAUGUAUGUAUUUAUGUACAUACGUAUGUAUGAUAGUGUGGAAAUAUUUUAUGUAACUUUUGUUCAAUAUAUAGAUAUUAAACGGGUUAUUGGGUAACCCGAUUAUUUUUCCGUGUCGGGUUUGGGUCUCAAUAUUUUGACACGAUUAUUAAAUGGGUCGGGUUUGGGUCGACCUAAAUUUGACACGACACGAAACUGACACGACAUGAACACGACCCGAUGACCCGUUUUGCCAGCUCUAGUUUUUUAAUAUGAAAAGGUAUUGGUUAGCUUUGUCUUUAGUUUUUUCAACUUAUAAUAAGUUUGUAUUAAGGCUCCCUUUGGUACAGAUUUUCAAGUAAAACUUAUUUAGGGUUAUUUUUAGGGACCUCCCCUGAGGUUUGGUGUAUUAACAAUCUGAUAGAAAGUAUUCACGUAAUUACAAAGACCUCCCCUGACAUUUGUAUUAUGUUAAGUGGACUGUUAUUGACUAUUGAAAAUCCAAAAAUACCCUUCCUGCCAAAAUAUUUCUUUAUUCACUGAUGAACUGAUGGGUAAUUCGUGCCAAAAUCACAAAUUACUUAAGAAGAUGAAAAUAUCCAUUGGAUAAAAAAAAUGAAAUUGCUUAAUAAAAAAAUUGACAUUGCAUAAUAAUAAAAAAAAUUGAAAUAAUGUGCGGCGGCAUAGCUGCAUCUUGCAUGCAUAUUAUUAUUGUGAUUUUUUUAUUACAAACUCCUUCAUAACUAAUACAUGCCACAAGAGCAGAGCUAUUAAAAGAAAUGAUUUUCAUAUUGUAAACUUGAUAGUACAGGUGUUGGCACCGACCAUAAAACCCUUAUGAUACCAAUCUUUGCUCCAUCCAUAUUUAAAUCCAGAUCAAGUAAAUAUUAAAUUGGAUUUCAGGUCCUGAAAAUCCUACUCUAUAAUUGAUAUCUUCGAGUUUUGUUGGUGCCUCAAACCUGGAUCUAGAGCAUCAUCUCUGUCAUACUCGGAACACCUAAACUAAUGGACUUGCUGCAGCUGCUUAUUCUUCUUCUGAAAUGAUGCACGCAUAUAGAUUACAGACUUUGAAAUAAGAAAUACAAUAAACAACAUGUAAUCGAACUUAAGAUUUCGGCACACUUGUUUGAAAAUUAGAAUCAAACAAGGAAAAUGGCAAGUCAAUAUUUUUUAAUCUAGAAAAAGGGAAAUUUCAAAGUUUAUCACAUGCCAAAUUCAUAGUCUUGCAUCCACUAUUUUCUAGUUUGAAUAACAAACAAAAGCCUUAGACAAAAACACAGAGAACAUCUCACAUGGGAGCAAAAAUUGUGUGUAGAACAAUAUACUUAAGUUACAUGUGAUUACAAUCACAUUAUUUAGCAAAUACAAAAUUACCUUCUCAAAAAAAAAAAAAAAAAAACAACACCACCAAAUUAUUGAAGGUAUUACAACAAUAAGGCAAAAGAACACCAAAGGCAUGCACAAACCGAAACUAACACACAACUCAAUUAGUGUCAUGACCCCAAACUGAACAAUCAUAUAAGCCAUUGUGGGCUCUCUAAAAGAUUAUCACAUUAUAAGCAAACAGAAACCUAUAUUUGAUGAACUACAUCUAGUACUUACACAACUCUUAAAUCAUUAGGAAAUUGCUCUUAUCAGUCAUUACCCAAUAGUUUUUUUCAACUCAACACUAACAACCCCAAAGAGAAACAACAUCCAGCACCAUUUUCAUUAAUUAAAACAGACCCAUUGUUAUUUUUAAUCAAUAAAAUAACAACAAUAUCGUGUAAGCCACUGAUUCAAGCAUUCAAGCUGUGUUUUCGAAGACUGACCUCUUCUUGCUAUCUAAUUCCAGUCACGAUAGACGCUAGAUGCCGGCAAUACUCGCUUCUUGGAAGCUCUGGACCACCGCACGACGUCAUCUUGUGCAGUAGAUGAAAAUAAAUCAAUGAUUUCAGAAAUUAUUUGUGAGUUGCAGACGCUUCUUCUCCAUGGAUGAAAAUGAUGGUGGGUUUUGUUCAAGUGUAAGCUGUGUUUACGAGGAGAAGUACACUUUGUGAAAAAAUCAUUUUCUUUCAUCUACUGGAUAAUGACUUUGGACUGGGUAAUGGUGUGUUUAAGUCUCUAUUUCACGGACAUUGAAGCAUAUUUUGCUUGAAUUUUGAUUUUGUUUAAAUUUCAAGUUUACUUUUACUUGUUUACCCUUUUAUACUGACGCUUAUGUAUUUUUAUACUAACGUUAAGGGAGGUCUUUGUAAUUAUAUGAAUACUUUCUAUCAGACUGUUAAUACAACAAACCUCAGGGGAGGUCCCUAAAAAUAACCCAACUUAUUUAAAUAGAACUUUUACAAAAAAAAAUUUAGUUAUUUGGUUGUCAAUAAACUUUUCAAGUAUACUUUGUUUGGUACAGCUUUUCAAGUAAAACUUAUUUAAGUAGAGCUUUUACAAAAAAAAAAAAAUUAGUUGUUUGGUUGUCAAUAAAAAUUUUUAUUAAAAAAAAUAUGAAAUUACUUUAUUAGUCAAGUUUUUUUAAAGUUAUGCUAUGAAAAGAAUAAAAUAAGAUUGUCAAAUAAAUAGAAAAUAUUUUAAAUAUUUUAACAUUUAAAAAAACUUUUUAACCUUUAUUUUCAAAAAUCUAAAAUUUAAACUUUUACUAGUAAAGGCAAAAUAAUUUAUUUAAACUUCAAAAGCUUUAUUAGAAAAAUAAUCAAACAAUAACAAAAAUUAUUAUAAAAGCUUAUCGAAUUAAAUAAGUACUUAUAGUUAUUAAAGAAGUUAUAUCUAACAGACACUAAUGCCGAAAGCCCCUUCUAAUUGUGGGUGUAAAAGUUUGAAUUAUGCAUACGGUUAAGGAGUUAAGGUGUGUUUGGCAACUGCAUUAAGUGGAAAUUUUUAUUUUGUUUCGAAUAAAAAUACAGCAAGCUCGUGUUCGGCUCAAAAUAAUGGAACGUUUAAUUUGCAACCGUCGGCGGACGAAGCACACCGUUCACGGCCCUUCGUAUAAAAUUGCAUAUGUAAACGUAAAUAGGUCCGGAUUCAGAUUCGUUGCUGUAGAGAGUGGCACGCACGAUCGGGCUGCUGUCGGUGGUAGGUUGGCAUUGGAAUUCUCAUCACGCGCUUCCCCAGGCGCCUACUUAUGGCAAAUUGACACGUGACGCGUGUGGAUUGAAUGGACAGAGUCCCGGGCAGUGUGUCCAAAGCUGCCAACCGUGCUCUGAUUUUUGUCAUCCAUAAUGGCUAACGACUAACGAGGGAGAUUUCCGGGCAGAAAGAAAUUGUUGUCGUUUCUGAAGGGGAAAAAAAAGUUAUUUAAUUUGUUGUUGAAGACAAAAUGAAGAUCUAAAUAAAUAAUGGCUAAUUUUGAGUGUAAAGCAACGGUAAAUGCAUUAUUAAAUUAGAUUUAGGGUCUGAUUGAGAUUAUUUUUAGAUUUAAAAUUAAUUUUGAAAAGUUAAAAUUAAUUUUGAUGUUUAUUAAUUUUUAUUAAAAAUUAUUUUUGUCAAAAUCUCUCAUCCUCCAGCAUAUUAUAAAAAAUAAGGAAGAAAUAAUUUUUUAAAAUUUAAUUUUAAGAAUCAGUUUUAUACUUAAUAUAAUCCACAUAUAUCCUCGUAAAUAUUAUAAAAAUUUAAAAUUAUUCUUAUUUAUUUAGGAUAUAAAAUUAUUAAAUUCAAACAUAUUAUUAUUAUUAUUAUUAUUGUUAUUAUUAUUAUUAUUAUUAUAAAUUCACACACGCACACACAUACUUAUAAAUUUAUAAAUAAACUUUAUUUAACAUUUUGUUCACUUAAAUCAUUUAUAUUCUUAUAGCAGUUUAACAUUAUGAUUUACCAAACACAGAUAAUUAUUUUUAAAAUCCAUAAUAUUUUUUAAAAUAAAUUUUAAUAAAUGUUUAACUUAUUAUUCUGACAACUGAUUUUUUUUGUAAGGUAUAACCAUUAAUAAUAAAUAUUUUAAAAGUUACAGUAUCCCCAAAUUGGCCCUUACUAAUACUCUGCGUUGCCAACUAAAUACUAAUUGUAACAUUAAACAUCUGGAAUAUUUUUCUCUAACGAAACAACACAAUUAAUUUCCCUCUAAAAAAGAAAAAGAAAAAGAAAAAAUAAACUACCAACCCCACCCCUUUAGACAGCAGAGUUUUAGCUGAGGCGGCUUGCUUGCAUAAGCAUUAAGGCUGCUCUUCACCAACCAUUGAACAUUCUUUCCAUUUGAUUGUUACACUUUACUUCGCCAUCUCAUGUCCAUGUACAUUGUUUUGAAAUGAAGACUUUGCGUACAACUAAUCUUUUUCAAUUCAUAAUAAAAACUCUUUUAAUUAGUUAAUAGCUAUAGCUUCCAAUUGAGACUAUAUAUAAAAAUCCAUAUUGACUGACCAAACCAAUAAUUUUUAAUUGGCUUGAGCAUUGUCUUACUUACUUCAAAAUCGUCACUCUCUUUGAAAAGAACAUGAGAGAGUUCACCUCCAUCUCAACCCUUAACCCUAUAUCUCAGUCAAGAGAUUAUUCAUGGAAAAUUCAGAAAAAAGAAAUGUUGCAAUAUUUACGAAACUCACGUCACGUGAGGUAAGAUAAAUUAUUCCUUUCUGCUUUAAUUCAUGUACAUAAUCAUGAGAAUAACUUUAAUUAUAGUUUAUUUCUCCGUUUUAAGAUUUUUCCUUUUUUUUUUUUAAUUAAUUAAUUAUAGUUCAUUCAUUAAUCCCAUAAGAAAUUAACACCUUUGCCGGUAAAGUCACACAUACAACAAUAUUUUAGAACAAAAGGGAAGAUCAUGCACGAUCAUGAUGUUUUAUUAUAUCUCUAGCAAUAUAAUUAUCUUAUAAUUAAUUAAAAACAAAACAGGUAAUUAAGCCAAAGUGGAUGGCAUGCAUCAAUCAUCAUGCAGAACACCUCCCCUUGUUUUAAAUAUAAAUAAAAGAAAUUUGUGCCCAGAAGACUUAAUUAAUACUUCUCGUUUCUGAAGUGCUCACAUGAUAUAUAGUCGGACGCAUUAUAUUUAAUUUCAUGAAUUAAUCGUACGGUUGUAUUUUGAGAGAGAGAGAGAGAGAGAGAGUGACUGAGUAAGAUAUGGCUUAAUUUAACCAAAUCUACGUAUAAAAUUUUAAAAUGAAUUUUUGAGUUUUAACUUAGGAAUUGUCUAUGAAUAAAAGUGUUAAUCAAAUAUUUCGUGUAAAAACAGUCAGCUGUAACAUUUUCGGUUGCUUUAACAAAACUGUAUAUUUCUGUAAUUUCCUAUAUGGGCCAAAAGGAACAUUUUUCUCAGAAAUUAAAAACUUAUGGUGAAAAAGAUAAGAAAACCAACAGGUUCAAAGGUGCGAGUAAACUGGGCUCUGGUGCGCCCAACUCCCUCUUUUGAUUUUGAGACUCUAUUGACCAUUGAGUUUGAGGCCCCAACGGCCCAGUUUAAAACUGUUAUGAAAAGAAAAAAAAUAUAACUAUAAAAUUAAAAUUAAUAAUGUUUGAUAAAUAUAAUUUUUAAAUAAUAAUUUGACAAAAAUAAUAUAGGGUCUUGUGUAUAUUUUUAUUUGGCAUUUCAAUUAAUCUGCUUAUAUAUAUAUAUAUAUAAGUUAAUCUAUAUUUCUUGCAAGAAGAUAGUAUUUCUUUAAUUAAAGUCAUAACUAAUAUAUAAAUUAUCAACUAACCAUCAAACAUUUAUCUCAUUUUAUCUCCACCACGAUCAUCACCAUUCAUCCUGUCACGAUCUUUAUGUAACUACAAUUAUUUUUUCUUUAAUAAUGUCAACCCACCAACCCCAUAACAAUAUCUCCAAACAUCUCAUCUCAAAAUUCCUAAUAACAUAAGUGUUUAUGUAUGAAAGAAAAUGUGAAAUAUAUAAUCAAAAAGUAGUUUAAUAAUAUAAUGUUUAAAAAUUAUGGUAAAAAUAAGUGAGAGUUUGGCAUGGCAAGUUAAUAAAAAGAUAAAAGCUCGGACACUUGAUGCAUCAAAGUAGCAAUGUCUGUCCAUCAUUAUCAUCAUGCGGGUUUAGGUGCUUCUCAUGAUAGCAUUAGCUGGUAAGACCAUCAUGCAUCGUACUUUCAUUGUUAUACAUUUUGAAGGUAAGAAUGGUUAUGUUACGUCCCUCCGAUUAGGUGUAUUUUUCUUCUUCUUCUUCUUCUUUUUCUUCUUCUUGUACGUAAUAAUUUCUCUUUCUUCCAUGAAGAUUUCUUUCUCUCUUUCUUUUUUUUUUUUUUAUUAUAAAUAAAAUGAUAAGAACUAAUUUCCUUACUAAUUGGUAGGGUCGUUUAAUGGUUCAGAUCCAUUAGAUUUUGUCAAAUUCAAGUCCAAUCCAUCAUAUAUUCCAUUUUAUAUUCCGGAUCCGAUCACUAAUAGAAAUCCAUUAUAAUUUAAAACAAUAAAACGUCGAAUCCAAUUUAAUUCGAUAUGAUCAAUCCAAUUAAAAUAAAAAUUUACAAAUAAAAAUCAUUAGUUGCUCUCUCCAGUUAUAAUUCUUAACAAUUAAAAAAAAUACAAAAUAUCAACUCCUUUAAUAUUUCAUGAUUCAUGUACUUUAUUAUCAUAUGGUUGGAAAAAAAAGUUGAAAUUUGAAUAUUAAAAGCAAAUGUUGGUUGCGACCUGCUGUUUGUAUUCUAUAUUGUUAUAGUAUAUUUAUAGUUAUUUUUUUAGCAAGUUAAAUAUAAAAGUGACAUAUAGUUUUUUUUUAUAAAAAAAAAUAAAUAAAGAAAAUAAAAAAUUAAUUGGUUGGAUUGGUUUAUAUUGGAUUUGAACAUAUAGAUCCAUAGACCAAUCUAAUAACAUUAUAUUUUUUAUUUUGCAAUCUUAUCCAAUCCAAUCAAAAUGUCAAUAUGACAAAAGUUGGAUUGGUUUUGAUCAGAUCGAUUGGUUUGAUUGGAUUGAAUUGAAUUAGAUCUUGAACAUCCUACCAAUUAGACUUUCCGUGAUUUUUUUUUUUCCAAAUUUAAUAAAGAGACUUCCCAUGAAUGUUAAAUGCAGUUUUAUUGAUGAAUUCUGCAAUUUUAAGAAAUGUUUGAUACACGAAUAAUGCAUCUCAUCAACCAAGUAACUGCGUCCCCUGCAGCAGCCGCGGCUUCAACUGGAAUACUGCAGCCACACCGGUCUUGAGACUCAACAUUCGGCCGAAACUCAAGCAAAAGUUGAACAAUAUCAGGCCUGCUUUGAGCUAUAGCAAUAUGAAGCAAUGUUUGUCCCUGCGCACCAGCAGAAUCAGCUGGGUGGGUUCCAAGCAGGGUCACUCUGUUCAAGAACCUCUCUUAUCUCAUCCAUUUCACCAUCCUUAACUAGCUGAACCACAACAUGGGACCCAACAAACAUGAUCUUGAUUCCUAUUGAUGAACGCUGGCUUCUUCCUUCUUGUGAACCAGUCACCAGGAACCGAAUCAAGCAUCAAUGUUGCAUCUUUAAUUGCAGCUGCAGGAACGACAACGCUAUGCAAGAGGAAGGAAUCAUCACAGUGAGGGAAAGUAUGAAGGAGAACUGAUCCUGGAGGAAGAUGAUACGCAAUCUCUAUGCUUACUGUUCCGAGUGGUUGCAUUGACCUGAAUAGUUCGAUCUAUUUCUCGUGUAUCUACUUGCGCUGCACUUUCACUCGAAGAACCUACAAAAUUAUUCAUAACCCGGCAUAAAAAAGACGUAAAGUUUUCAGCGCGAGCAUGGUAACUUCAAAACCCGUUUCAUACCUAUCAUAUUUCAUUCGUCCCGCACCCUCAUUUAAAAGACUAGAGCUUAUAAAAACUAGAAGUACCUUACCCAGAACAUAAAAGCAGACAAAACCCAGUCGAGUAUAAAUAUAACGUUGAAUAACACCUACCAUUUACCAUUUCAUUCAAGAACACCACACAAUUAACGAAACCAACAUCGGUAUGUUUUCAGCCGUUGUACUUUCAACUUAAUUUUGAAAGCGCGGCAGCUAAAGCCUAAACUGUUGUUUGAUAAAAGUCCACCCACUGACUGCUACCUGGCGGCUACCGAUUCCAUUCAAUAGCAGUCAUAAAAUAAAAAGUACAAAACAAACCUAUGUACAAAAAAGGCAAUGAAGCAGCCAUGGAUUCAGUUAUUUGCAUGUUUGGGAUUGUGGUUGAUUCCAAAUUGAGAAUAUACUGCGAAAUUAUGUUUGAUAAGCAUUUAUCUGAUGAUUGCUACUUUAUUGAGUGCCUGUUUGGUAUGGCUUAUUUAAAAGCCAUAAGUGCUUAUUUAAUCGUAUAAGCACUUUUUUAAAAUUUUUAUGGUGUUUGGUUAUUUUUUUAGUAGAGUUUUUUUAGCUUAAAUAAGCUAAUUUACCUCUACUAGCAAAAGCCCAAAAUUUGAGCUUUUGGGAGUAGAGGUUAAAGAGCUUAUCUAAAAAAUAUAUAAUAAAAAAAAUAUCAUACAGUUUAAUGAUUCAAAAGUGUUUUUUUUAUUGACAACCAAACACCCAAUGACUUUUUGUCCAAAAACUCUAUUGGUAUAAGCUCUAUUGUUAUAAGCUCUAUUUAAUAAGCUGUACCAAACGGAGCCUGAGUCUUCAAAGAAAAACUCAAUCAACUAAUGCUCGAUUUUUUUUUUUAAAUGACAAAUCAAAAAGUAUUUUGGAGUAGAUUCUCAAAAGAGUGAUUAUUUGAUAAUCCACCAUAAUCCCACUUAGUUAUCAGAAAUAAAUUAAAAUCCGACGAAUGUUACUUAAGCCAAACAGCAUUAUUUUAUUUUGACCACAAGGACCACAACCCUCAAGCUGUCAAGCAACCGUUACCGUUAACGACCAAUCUUUCACCUCUCCGAAUCUUUGCAAGUCACUAUCAAGCAACCGUUACUAAUAUUUAAUCAAUUAUUAGGAUUAUUGGAUUUCUCAAAUACCUUAUGUACUUUGGUUCACUUUCUACUAAAAUAAAUAUUACAGGAGCUUUCAAAGUCUAGGCUAAGGUUGUUGUAAACAUAGAGAGAUUCAGAGAUAUAACAGCUUGUAAUUACAUACCACAAAGCAUAACUUUGUUCGAAUGAUAAUGAUCAUAAUCCAGAUUAUAGACGUAGAGAGAGGAGAAGUCGUACUUGAGGGGCAAAACGCGGCGUUUUGGCUCGUGGAUGAGGUGCUGCUCCUGAUCGUCGUAGAUUGAAGGGAGGAGAGGUCGGUCGAGGAAGUUUAGGAGACGGUGGAGGCUGAAUUGGUGAAUUUCGAUGAAGACUGACGAAUCCAAUGGGGCUUGAGGGUUUGAUUUGCAAAGAUGAAAGAUAAGAGCAUUGUUUUGGUUUCUGUGCAAAAAAAAAAAAAAAAAAACAUGACAAGCGUUGUUUUGGUUUUGGUUCUAAAAAGAUGAAAAUUUGACUGCAAUGGAUCCAUACGCAGUCGGUGUCAAAUAAGAGGAGAAACAAAUAUGUUAAUCACUCGCUCAAUCACUCAUGCGAAGUGCCUUUUUUUUCGUUGCUUUGGCUUCUGAGAAAUAUAUGCAUCAGAUAUUACAACUCUCGAGGAUAAUGCAUUUUGUUCCGGUUUUGACUGAUAUUUAGUGGCAUUUGAUAAACUGAUACCUCAGAACCUGGUAGAGAGUUUAUUAAAUACAAAGAGAACAAAAAUAUAUGACUAUAUAAGCUUUUACACGGUUGAAGAUCCGGUCAAAUUGGCUUUAGUUAGCAAGAUCAUUUAAAACUUUCAAAAAACGAAUGGUAUCAAAAAGCUCUGAGAAAAAGCGGAAAAAAGGCACCACAAAGAUCUUGCAAUUAUUAUCACAGCUUGAUAAGACAUGGAAAUGUAUCUUACAAAUUGGCCUUCCAAGCAUCAAAGAAUUGGGUGGCGACAACUCCCAUUCCUAGCUGCUACCGUGGCCAGUCCCUUCUAACUAAAAUGGGACAGGACCAAAAGCAAGGUCUCUCCCACUCUCCUUAUGUAUAUAAAAUUCCCUACAUUCGAAUAAAACUACAGAAAAAGAUUUGCACAUCAUCUUCUUUCACCUUAUUUUGCAAUCUUCAAGAGUUUGGAAGAUUUCAAAGCACUUGUUAGAAUGUAGCACUCCAUUAAGCAUUCUCACCUUCCCCACACCCCAAUGGACCUCCUUAAUCCUAUCGGCAGACCUACAAAUUCUGCUGCAACUCCAAUCAAAUAAAGCAACACAAUUGUUGCCUGCCUAAGCCUUCCACUCACAGCCUGCAAUGACAAGUUCAUGAUACAAAAUCAGAAACAUUAAUAAACAAAAAGAUAUUACCAUUACUUGCAGAGGGGGAUUUGUUGCAAUUAGUAAAUGCCAUACUUAUCACUUUCAUUGCAGAUAUCAUCAUCAUCAUAAUACUAGCAAUCCAGCACUAAUAGUCAGAAUAAUAAUAAUAGUAGCAUGAAUAAAGAAUUUCUGCAGAGUAAGCUCUAAAGAUGCCGAAAGUGUCAUCUAUUAUGUUAAUAAUAAAAAAGUCUAUCAAGAAUUCAAGGAAAGAAAACUCAUUAACAAAGAACUAAACUUUUUAAUAAUGUUUAAUAAACUACGUACCUAUGAUUUUCUAUUAUUAACAUAAAUGACACUACGUACAACUGAUUUUCGCUUUCUAAUGUUUCAAAUCAUACCGAGAAAUAUAACAAUUACCAAGUCAGUAAGUAGCACAAUUACUUAAUAAGACUUUGACUUGUCUAACCCAAAAUUGUACCCAAUUCUAUACUCUACCAUGAAAAGCUUAUGAAGCCGAACUUACUUUGACCAAACAGUACUAUUAGCUCAGUUAAAGGAAACCACAAUUGAACAAAGUUCAGCUGAAAUAACUGAACUAAAAAAACUUGAUAAAAUUAAAAGUAACUUAUAACAGUUUAGUAAAGAAGCAUACAAAACAUGAAGAUAAAUAAACAUAGGUCUAUUUUCUUGACACUACCAGGUCCUUUCCUUUUUUUUUUUUCAGAUAAGAUCUCGAUACUACCAAGUUUUGGAUUCAAAAUCACCAUAUUACAAUAAUAGUUGUGAUUCAUGGGAUACAAUAUGUAGCAGCUUAUAUGUCGGCAAUUAUAGUCAAAGAUGGUUGUCAAACAUCAUCGCAAAUCAAGAAGCUAAUAAAGACCAUGUCACACUACAUUAACAUAUAUCAGUUCUUUGAUACAAAGAUAUUGAAUGUUAUACAUUUCUAAUCCCAAGUCCUGAAAUACAAAACAAAAGUUCACUUCACACAGUCAUAAAGCUAGACUGCUAGAUAAAUGGACAAUAGGCAUUGGAUAUGGGUCAAUAAACUAUUAAGCUAAUUAAUGCACACGAAGGAAUCCGUUAGAGCUAGUAAAAUAGCCCUUACCAGAGAACUCGCAGAAGCAUUCAAUUUCCUCAAAGGAGAUAACUUACAACAUAAACAUUUUGAUAAGCAGCAACACACAUAAAAUAGCUUCACUCACUAGCAACAGAGCAACUUCUUCAACACAUUAAUAAAUCCAUUUUCAUUUUUAAACAACAAAAUAAUGCCCAGUUUCUCCAGCACAAAUAGGGUAAGCAGUAAUAGAAAAACAUGAUACAUAGGAAUUACCGGCCUCAAGAAAUCUCCAAGCUUUCUGUCCUCUGCUUCAAUUGCUCAAUCAAGAAUGCCCCAGACGUUGCGCUAGCGUGGUGGUGGAGCGUCGCGAAGCGUGUGGCGGCGGUGUCGGCGAAGGCAGGUCAUGAAGAUAGUUGGUGUCGCGCAGCGAAGGCAGUGCAGCUGGUGUCAUGCGGCGAAGGCAAAUCGCGUGGUGGUGGAGUUGGGGUCGCGCGGCAGUGGCGGUGCGGUGCUGAGGCAUAAUAGUGGCGGUGGCGUUGUGCGACAGUGGCAGUGUGGAGGCAGAUUGCGUGGAGCUGGCGGUGUUGAGGCAGAUCGCGUGGAGGCAGAUGCCGCGGUGGUGGAGUUGCUGUCGCGAUCAACGCCUGUGAAAGGGAAUGAAAGUGAAGGAGAUACCUACAAAAGAAAGAACGAGUGAAAUUUUUUUUUUUGUUCAAGGGUUUCAAACCCACAUAAACCCGACUCUCACACGGGUUCAGUAAGUUUAUGCGGGUUUGACUGCAUUACAAAUUGGUAUGACCACAACAACAGUACAAUGAUUGGUAAUUACCAAACAUGCUAUUUAUGUUGGUAUUAAAUUAAUUUAAUACAAUGAGGAGUGGUAAUAUCAUACAAUGAGGACUGUUAAAUAUGGUGUGUUUAAUAUGUUGUAUUGUAUUAUAUUAUUUUAAUACAAAUAUAUUAUAUUAUCUUGUAUUAUAAUAAUAUUAUAUAAUAUUUUGUGCUACAUUGUGUUGUAUUAAUUUAUAAUUAUAAUAUAUUUAAUGUUGCACCACGCUGUACUAAUUUUUUUAGUAAUCAAUUUAAAUUAUAUAUUUUACAAAUAAUAUUUAUUAAAAUACUUAAAAAUGCUAAAUAUGAAAAUAUUGAAUUUUAAAAAUUUAAUAUUAUUUUUUUAAUAUAAAUAUUAAAAAAUAUCAUAAUUCUUCAUAGAAAUCGAAGUUCAUGGCAUUAAAUUUUUAACGCCGCAUACAUAAUAAAAAAUUUGAUUCUCUAGUGCCAAUAUAAUAGAAUACAUAAAAACGAGACUGAGAAACUACGAAUAAAGCUCAUCAUCAAGGACUCCACAACAUUAUAAGAAGUACUAUGUAACAUUUGCCAAAUUACAACACCACAUCAAGACAUAUCACAAUGUAAAAUUUUUCCUAGAGAUUUGGUAAUUGAAAAACACAAUUCAAGUUGAAAACUGAUAGUCGACUUGAAAAGUUUUAACAUAUCCCAUAAAAGAAAUGUGCCAUGCCAAAAAUCCUAACCCUUGGCUCUUUGACGAUAAGAAAAUAUUGAAAAUUCCAAAGUACAGUGCAAUGGGAGAAAGAAUGCCUAUAAAGCUAGUAAAGAUAUUCUUAAACUACUAUUGGGAUGUUGGGCUGGUUGGUAGCAAAACCCAAACCCUGCUGCUGAUUUCCGAUACCACCAUCUUGGAUAAGCCGCUCUCCCUCCUCUUCCUAACUCCUAAGCCCAAUAUCUUUCCAAAACCUUCACAACCCACUCAUAAAUCUCAUUGUUGUCGUGGAUAUGCAAAUUCUCAAUCUUUUCUACUCCAUCACACUCAUCAAUCAUUUGGGUAUAAACAUUAACCCAAUUAUCCAUUCCUAUUUCCUUGUUAACCUCACCCACCUUGAAAAUGUUCUCAAGACCCUAUAGACAAACUGUGACGAUCCUUUGGUCCAGACAAACCAGAAGAUCACAGAGCGGUUUGAUGCAACCUUGGCUCACCAGGAAUCUGCAGGACCAUGGUACCAUAAGUGAUUCUAUCACAUGAACAUCAUUAGAUUAAAAAAAGAAAAAAAAAAGAAACAUCUAUCGUAUGAACAUUGCUGAGUGAAUAAAAGAAACAUACUGAAUAUGUUCAUGAGAUCCUCCAUAUGUGGCAUUUAAGACAGGCCAUGCAGCCUCCUUGAUUUCAAGUUCUGCAUGUUGAAGAAGAGGUGCACAAAAGGAAGGAUAAGGAAGGAUGAUAUUGGCCUCCAUAACAGCCUGUUGAACAAAAAUUCGACAAAUUAUAAUUAUGAGUAUAUUUAAGUAGCAAUUUUGUCAGAAUUAACUAGACUUGACUAUUGAGGAAGUCACAUUCAAAAAUAGAAAAGACGAGCAAGCAAUUGUAUUCAUGCUAUCGGGACCAAAAUACUAUGAUGCAAGCAAGAAAGAAAAACAUACAUACAUAUAAAACACUAUCUUUGAGUUGGGUAUUUUCUUUCAAUUUUGAUAAUGGCAACUUUGGAUUCUUCUGCUGAAUUACCACCACCACCACACCAUUGUAGUUUCACAUACUAAGAAAAGGCAGGUUCAGCUCCCGUGCAUGCCCAUAAGAAUAUGAUGUAUUAAUUAGAAGUAAAAUUAAUCUGUUCAAUUAAGUUCUCUCAUAUAUUUGUGUGCGUGUGUGUGUUAAUUAGUUUGCUUUCAAAUCUUUUCUCCCUUCUUAAUGAUAUAUAUUUUAAGCAUGAUAUCAACCACGAUGAAUUUAUUAGCCGAUUUUUAAUUAUACAUUCAGCAUGAUAUCACAAACCAAGAGCUUAAGUUAGCCUAAUUCUUCAUAAAUCUAAUAAUUGCAAUCAAUAAUAAUGCUGAAAAUACGAGUUUGAAUUAAGCUAGCAACUGGUUCUUAAAUUAUGCAAUAUGUAAUCAUAGGUUUACUUAAAGAUUAAAGCAUUUCUGCAAUCCAUUGUGCAAAAAGAUUAAAAAAAAAAAAAAUAGUUGCCAAAUUUUAUCUAAAUAAAAAUUCCUUUAGUGGUUAGUACUUGUGAAUUAUAGAAAUUAUUAUUAGUACUUGCUCAGCGCUUUUUAGAUUUGUACAGGUAGAUUACGCCAUUUCAAACCCGACCAUCCAUUUAGACAUACAAAUCCCCCCAAUUCCCUGUCCUCCGCCUUUACGCGACUCUCCACUGUAUGUGCCAACUAAUUAAUUUUUUAAUUACUUGUUUAACUAAUUAAUUCAUUUUCUCAAAAGCAAGAUUAAUCUAUUUGUUCAAAUCUGAAGGAGAUUAAGUUAAUUGAUUUUAUUGUAUGUAAAAAUAUACAAAGAACUCAUGAAGCCAACUAGAAAAAAAAAAAAAGACAAAAAAAAAAUCAAACCCAGAAAUAAAAAGACAUGCUUCGACAGAAAAUUAAUGAAAAUUAUACUGAUUGUGGUUCAAUUUGAUCAAACCCAAAUAAUAACCGGUUUGAUUGAUGACUCAGCGGCAAAGUGCAGGCGCAUCAGUGGUUGCACAGAUGAGUGUUCUCGUGCGGCACGACAAAGCAAUUGUCGGCGAUUGUGAUUGGUGAUGACAUCGAGCGAUGGGGGUAAUGGCAUCGGUCGUGACUUUGUGAUGGAGAAACGAAUGUUAGAUUCGUUCGAAGAUUCGUGUUUUGAUUGAAUAACAAAGAGAGAUUUUAUGAGUUUUAAUUAUCUAAUACGAUACCGCAUAAACCCGACUCGUACGUGGGUUUAUUUUAUGCGGGUUUCGGUGUACUAAAGCAGUAAAUUUAUGUGGUGCAAUUCAAACUGAUUUCACCGCCAAAAGAUCGUGUAAAUUUAAUAUUAUACAGGGUUUUAAUACUAUGUAAUCCAAUACACCAAACAUGCCCUUAAAAACGGAUAGCAAUCCGGGGCCUUUAAAAACGGAUAGCAAUCCGGGGCCUUUAAAAACGGAAAAUACAAGCAGAGAAAAAGAAAAGCCAAUUGUUCAAAAGUGCCUAAUAUGCCCACGGAAAAUUUUCGUCACGACCCACAGUUACUCGAAUAGGUAAUAAGACAGGAAUGCCUUUGUUUGUUCGAAUAUAGAAGCACAAUGGCUCAGAAAGGAUCCCUCCAAUCUCCUUGGCACUGUCAGCUGGGUGCGGAGUAGCUUGGUGGCAGCAACCAUGUUUGAGAGGGCUGGCUUCACCUCAGUGUACUUGCGAGUCUUGAGACCACAGUCAGGGUUAACCCACAAAAUGUUGGUUUCUAGCACAGUACGCAUCUCGUAGAUUCUGUCAACAAUUUCUUCGGUUGAUGGUAUUCUUGGAGAGUGGAUGUCAUAGACGCCAGGGCCAAUUGCAGCAUCAUACUGGACUCCCUCACGGAAGACUGACAGGAGAUUCUCAUUAGAACGAGAGUUCUCAAUGGUGAUCACAUCAGCAUCCAUGUCGAUAAUUGAGUGGAUAAUGUCGUUGAAGUUGGAGUAGCACAUGUGGGUGUGGAUCUGUCAAUCAAUAAACAAUAGAAUGAGAUACAAAAUCAACAGCUAAAUUAAAGAGAUGAGAUUGGAGAUUAAAAGGGUAACUGACCUGGGUAGUGUCCUGGAUGCCACAGUUGGUGAUUCUGAAGGAGUGGACUGCCCAGUCCAAGUAGAAAGCAUGCUCAGAUUUCCUGAGAGGCAAUCCUUCCCUCAAGGCAGCCUCAUCAAUUUGAAUAACGUUAAUGCCUGCCUUCUCAAGAUCCUCGACUUCGUCCUUGAUGGCCAAAGCAAUCUGGUAGCAGGUUUCAUGUCUGCAAAAUUGGCAGCGAUUGAUGUUAAACAAUGUUUCCAUUCCAAAAGGUUAACCAAUAGUGAACCAGUUCUCAUUUAUAUACCUGGGCUGGUCAUUUCUGACAAAGGACCAGUUGAGAAUGGUGACAGGGCCAGUAAGCAUUCCCUUCAUUGGGCGAGCAGUCAUGCUCUGAGCCCAGGAGGACCAGAAGACGGUC